GGGAUAUGGCGGAAUUGGUACACGCUACGGACUUAAAAUCCGU
Molecule: transfer RNA, 43 nt
Filed under: Ephedra distachya
Lineage: Eukaryota; Viridiplantae; Streptophyta; Gnetopsida; Ephedrales; Ephedraceae
Also listed under: 11 other names
Description: partial tRNA-Leu
Source: RNAcentral